This 333-nucleotide long non-coding RNA is filed under the name Coffea arabica (coffee). RNAcentral's name for it is "long non-coding RNA (CARA_LNC000204)". Lineage: Eukaryota; Viridiplantae; Streptophyta; Magnoliopsida; Gentianales; Rubiaceae. The record is from RNAcentral.
UGGGCUUCAUCACCAGGCAAGCAAGCCACACAAAUCAGUUUCUACACUAGCAAAAGAUGUAUCUUGCGUCUAUUACUACCCAGAAACCAGCAUAAAAGAGAGGUACACAAAUCUACAGAAAAGGAAAUGAUCAACGAGGGCGGCAAGAAGAAUCCCAAUUGUUAAAUGACAUACUGUCUCUUUGGUUUUUCUCAUCAUUCCUUACACGAACACCAACCAUAGAACCAACCUAUGUCAUGACCUGAUAGGGAAAUAAACCUCUGGCCUCAAACCAGUCUAAACUUGCGAGAUCCUCUACACCCUUAGCCAAAUUCAAGAACCCAACAGACCCAU